GACGAACGCUGGCGGCGUGCUUAACACAUGCAAGUCGAACGGAAAGGCCCUGCUUUUGUGGGGUGCUCGAGUGGCGAACGGGUGAGUAACACGUGAGUAACCUGCCCUUGACUUUGGGAUAACUUCAGGAAACUGGGGCUAAUACCGGAUAGGAGCUCCUGCUGCAUGGUGGGGGUUGGAAAGUUUCGGCGGUUGGGGAUGGACUCGCGGCUUAUCAGCUUGUUGGUGGGGUAGUGGCUUACCAAGGCUUUGACGGGUAGCCGGCCUGAGAGGGUGACCGGCCACAUGAGGACUGAGGUACGGCCCAGACGCGUACGUGAGGCAGCAGUGGGAAAUAUUGCACAAUGAGCGGAAGCCUGAUGCGGCAACGCCGCGUGCGGGAUGACGGCCUUCGUGUGGUAAACCGCUUUCGCCUGUGACGAAGCGUGAUUGACGGUAAUAGGUAAAGAAGCACCGGCUAACUACGUG
RNAcentral lists this ribosomal RNA (468 nucleotides) under uncultured bacterium. RNAcentral describes it as "partial 16S ribosomal RNA". It matches the Rfam family "Bacterial small subunit ribosomal RNA", at positions 28 to 507 of the family's 1533-position model. The record is from RNAcentral.